This 292-nucleotide ribosomal RNA is filed under the name uncultured bacterium. RNAcentral's name for it is "partial 16S ribosomal RNA". It matches the Rfam family "Bacterial small subunit ribosomal RNA", at positions 505 to 796 of the family's 1533-position model. The record is from RNAcentral.
GUGCCAGCCGCCGCGGUAAGACGAACCGUGCAAACGUUGUUCGGAAUCACUGGGCUUAAAGGGCGCGUAGGCGGGCAGCCAAGUCAGGGGUGAAAUCUUUCGGCUCAACCGGAAAAUUGCCUUUGAAACUGGCUGUCUCGAGGGAGGUAGGGGCAUGUGGAACUUCCGGUGGAGCGGUGAAAUGCGUUGAUAUCGGAAGGAACGCCGGUGGCGAAAGCGACGUGCUGGACCUCUUCUGACGCUGAGGCGCGAAAGCUAGGGGAGCGAACGGGAUUAGAUACCCCUGUAGUCC